UAGUAACGGCGAGUGAAGCGGGAAGAGCUCAAGCUUAAAAUCUCCGUGCAAGUUUUGCGCGGGUAAUUGUAGUCUAUAGAGGCGUGGUCAGCGUGAGCACUUGGGGCAAGUUCCUUGGAAGAGGACAGCAUGGAGGGUGAUACUCCCGUUCAUCCCUGAGUUGCUCGUGCGUACGACCCGUUUUCUUUGAGUCGCGUUGUUUGGGAAUGCAGCGCAAAGUAGGUGGUAAAUUCCAUCUAAAGCUAAAUAUUGGUGCGAGACCGAUAGCGAACAAGUACCGUGAGGGAAAGAUGAAAAGAACUUUGAAAAGAGAGUUAAAGAGUACCUGAAACUGCUGAAAGGGAACCGAAUCGUUUCCAGUGUCUAUAAUCUGUGGCAUAUUUCAUUGGCGAGUGUGUGCGUGCGUGUGCUGUGGCAGUGGCUUUUUUGGCUGCGCUCGGUGUGUGUGCUGUGUGUGCUUGCUGGUGCCCUGUGCUGCGGUGGGACGUCAAGGUCAGUUCGUAUGCUGCGGGAAAUGGCUGCCGAGGAGGUAGGGCUUACGCUUGCGUUUGUCUGUUAUAUCUUGGUGGACGAGUAGUCGCGGUUGGGACUGAGGUGCCUACAACGUGCUUUUGAGUGUGUCUGUGUCUCCGUGUGCGCCGUGUGCGGAUAGCUUGCUAUGCGUGUGUGGUUGUGUGUGGAUUGAUGCGGGCUUUAACUUGUUGCCGUUC
Molecule: ribosomal RNA, 710 nt
Filed under: Phytophthora palmivora
Lineage: Eukaryota; Oomycota; Peronosporomycetes; Peronosporales; Peronosporaceae
Description: eukaryotic LSU rRNA
Rfam family: Eukaryotic large subunit ribosomal RNA
Source: RNAcentral